UACGUAGGGUGCAAGCGUUAUCCGGAUUCACUGGGUUUAAAGGGUGCGUAGGUGGGUUGGUAAGUCAGUGGUGAAAUCCCUUCGCUCAACGAAGGAACUGCCAUUGAUACUGCUAUACUUGAAUAUAGUCGAAGUGGGCGGAAUGUGACAUGUAGCGGUGAAAUGCUUAGAUAUGUCACAGAACACCGAUAGCGAAGGCAGCUCACUAGACUAACAUUGACGCUCAUGCACGAAAGCGUGGGGAGCGAACAGG
This 253-nucleotide ribosomal RNA is filed under the name uncultured bacterium. RNAcentral describes it as "partial 16S ribosomal RNA". It matches the Rfam family "Bacterial small subunit ribosomal RNA", at positions 524 to 776 of the family's 1533-position model. The record is from RNAcentral.